RNAcentral lists this long non-coding RNA (38393 nucleotides) under Solanum lycopersicum (tomato). Its description in RNAcentral is "long non-coding RNA (SLYC_LNC000504)". The record is from RNAcentral. Lineage: Eukaryota; Viridiplantae; Streptophyta; Magnoliopsida; Solanales; Solanaceae.
UACUUUUAUUGCACUAUACAUAUAUAAGAUAGAAAAAUAGUCUCAAAGAUUGUCUCAUCUCAUACCAUCUAAACGAUUAUCACAAUAUGGACAUAGCCCUUACAUUAAGUCAACAAGACCACAUGUAGGUCAUACAAAAGUAUAGUACUCAAUUAAAAAGGAAAGAAUGAAAGAGUCUUUAACAAGUCCGUAAGCUAGACAGUGGCACUACCCUCGGAAGUUGAGGACCUACCCUACUUGGAUGAAAUGAAGAAUCAAAGCCUUCAACAAUGUCGCCUUCAAAAUUCUUCAACGAUCGGAACCUAAAAUGUUUGGGAAAAGGAAAGAAAAUGGGGUUAAUACUCCACAUAUACUAAGUAUGAGACCUUAUGCACAUAUACUAGCAAAACAUGCUAAAAAGGAAUUUUUAGUCAAAACAUGUCAUUUUACCGUUUUAGAAACCUAAUGCAAAUCUAAGCAAGUCAUAUAACCCACCAAACAUGCUUACUAACUCAACAAGUAAUACGUAUUCCAACAUACUUGAAACCAUGAUUUACUACAACCCUAUCAUCAAGGAAUAACAUCACAAGAAUGAAUUAGAGUCAAUCGUAUCAUAAUAAGCAAGACAACUACUCAUGAAUCCUUAUCAAGUCAAAAAGUGCAAUGACCAAGCAAAGCCCCAUAACCUUACUCAAUCAAGUAGCCUCAACAAGAAACCAUAACCAAUGUCCAUCUUCACAUAACAUAACAUUUAGAUUUAUAUUCCAUCUUAUGUUAACCUUUUUAACCCAAAGCAUACUCAUAAAUGAACUAAUCAACAUAUAGUAUGAACAAUGUGCCAAGGUCAUCAUGAAUAUAUCAUAUAUCAUCAUAACAUAAACAUAUAUAAGAACAUCCUCCUAAGACUCCCCUUAAGUCUAACUAGUGCAAUGCUAUAUAGAGUCUCAUACCCCUACCUAGACUAAGCUAGACCCCUUAGGUUACCCAAGUUAGAGUUCAAGUCCUUUAAUUAAUUUUACCUUUUGGGAACAUUUUGCCCUAACCGACAUUGACCACAUGAGCUAGUGUGGAAUCCGAGGUCAUAAAACCCUGCACCGAAAGAAGGCGAACUACUUGCCAAGUUAGUACCAAUACAUGAAACAUAGCAACUACGUGGAUCCACUAGCUAGUAUUACUAUGGGGGAAACAUAGUUCAAGAACUAGGAGAUAUAGUUGGGACCCUCUUUAUGCGCCAUUCAUUGUAGUCUCCAAUCUCAAGAGUAAUGUAGUAUUCCUACCUUCCCUAUGUGGUAAGGUACACUUCUCAAUCUAGUUCACUCGGUGCAAAACUAGUCCCUUUUUGAAAUGUCUUUAAGCCUUUAUUUAUCAAUCAUAAUAAGGCGCAUUGGUAUGCAUCACCAUCCUUAUAGCAUUUACAUCUUAAUCAACCUCACAACCAUAAUCAAGACAUUUUAAUUCAAUAUCAUACCACCCUAUCAAUCCUAAUACAAGACAUACUCCAAUAUAAUAUCAUGACUUAACCACAAUUAAUCACAAUUGGAAGUAAAGAUAGAGAUUCUAAGGCUUACCAAGUAUUCCUCAUAGUUCAUCAUCAAGGUAUUACCAUCAACCCAUAACUCAACCCAACUAGGCCAGUAACAUCAUCACAUAAUGAUAACCAAUACGAUAACAAUGCCAAUUGCAUCUCUAUAACACAAUUCAACACUAGAUUAUAGCUUAAGACAAGAUACAUAGGCUAAUUUCACAAUAUACUUCAUAACCUAAAUUACAUCUCAAGAACUAGCAUGAUAAGCCUAUAAUUAAUCUAAAUUUAUUCAUAAACACCAUAGGAUAGUAAUCUAAUCAAUAACCAAGUCAAUUGAAAGAUCACAAUACAAUAUAGGUUAAGAUCACAACCUAGGGUUAGGGGUUGAGGAUCAUGUUCUUCAAUCUAGAACAAACCAUCAACAAUUACAAUAAACAAGUUAAAUUAAAUGUUAAUAUAUUCAAUAUAACCUAUGGAAAUCAUUAACAACUCAAUUCAUAAUUUCAAUUUCGUAAUUAGAUGAAACUCAUAAGAAAAAUCAACUUUUGAAAUCCAUUUUGAAGGAACCCUUUGAGGAAAGAGUAUCAAAGGUGAAUUAGAUCCCAUAUCUUAAUGUUUGAUGAAAAUUCGAUGGUUAAUUCGUUCCUUUUCAUACCCCAAACCCUUAUCCCUGCUAGACUUCAAUGGUGAGUUCAAGUAGAGAGAGAAAGAAGAGAGAAGGAAGAUAGUUUAUUUUGUGAGUUAUCAUAAGGUUAAUUAGGGUUGGAGACUUUAUAUGGGAGUUUAAGUUAGUUAAUUAGUAUCCCCUCAAUCCCUAACUAAGCCAUAAACUACUUAAUCAAUUAAAUGUCUUACCACUAAAACGUGCAGGAAAAUCCCCCCUCCCCCACAGACGGAACCCCACCGACGGGCUGUCUAUGAGUCUGCAGACCUACCCCCCUCUCGUCCUGCACUCUGUCGAUGAUUUCAAAGACCGUGCAGGCGAGGGGCUUUGUGAAGGAAUGACUGCUUUACCAAAUUUGGCAGGAAGGACAAUCAUCCACAAGACCACCUCGUUUCAAUGGUCAUUACUAUGGGUGCGUGAAAAAUCUAAUGCAUGACUACAUUAAUGCAAAGGAUUCACAAUGAUGGGAUGUUAUCUUGGAUGGUCCUUAAGUUUCGAUGAAGGAUGGAAGUCUCACCACUUUCGUGGUUAAGUCCUGAAAGGAGUUUACUGAGAUUGAUAGGAAAAAGUAUGAAAAGAACUAAAAGGUGAAAAAAAAAUCCUAGUCUGUGGUAUUGGUGCUGAUGAGUAUAACAAAAUCUCAGAUUUUGAAUCGGCAAAGGAGAUUUGGGACUGCCUUCAAACUGCUUAUGACAGAACCAAGAAGGUGAAGGAAUCAAAGGUGAACAUGCUUACUACUCAAUAUUUGAAAUGAACUCGUGUUUCACUGCCAUAAAAAAUGCGCUCAGAGGUCUAGGAGAUCUAUACUUAUGUGCAAGCAAGUUCGAAAAAUUCUCAAGAUUCUUCCAAAAUCUUGGGAAAGCAAGGUGGAUGUAAUUACUGAGGCAAAAGAUCUAAUGACCUUGCCUAUGGAUGAGCUUAUAGUAAAUUUGAAGACCUAUGAGUUGAAAAUAGGAAGCAAGGAGCAACUGGGAAGGAGUCAAAGAAAGAAAAGAACAUUGCUUUGGAAUCUUCACAAAGCGAGGUGACUAAAGAAGAAGCAGAGAUGACAUACAUGACAAAGAGGUUCCAAAAGAUUAUCAAAAAGCAUGGUGGUUUCAAAAAGAAAGGAACAACCAGCAGAGUGGCUACAACUAAUGACUUAUGUCACAAAUGUGGUAAGCUAGGUCACUUUAUGAGAGAUUGUCCAAGUCAAAAACAAGAAUCUCAUGAAGUGAGAUAUCGUAAGAAGAACCUGGUCCCAGACAAUUUUCGAAGGAAAGCACAUGCUAAUCAGAUGGUAAAAAAAGAGCCUUUGCUGUAUGGGGUGAUGAUUCAAGUGAGUCCGGGGAAGAAGUUGAGGAGCACAAAUAUGUUUCUAUGAUGGCCAUUGAAGAUGAUGACAUCAUCGUCAACUCAAUCUUCUCAUUAAUGGUAACAUCAGAUGAUGAGGACGAUGCACCUGAGGUAACUCUCUUUGAAUUAAAAGAUGAUCUGGGAAAUCUUUCUACUGAAAGUCUGAGGAAACUGGCAGUGUUAAUAAUUGGUUCUGUAGAUGAGCUGUCUAAUAAAAACUUAAUGCUGACUAAAAAAUUAAGUUUAUUGAAAAUGAAAAUGCAGCUUUUCUAACACAGAUUUCUGAAAUGAGUAAAAGAAUAGAGAUACUGGAGUCUAACAACAAUGUUGAUGAGGAAGAACCUAGUACCUCUAAACAUCAUAAAAGAAAAAUUAACAUUUAUGAGGAAGAAUUGGAGGAUAAUCUUAAAAUCUCUAAAUCUAAGUUAGCUGCUUCUCUUGAAAAGAAUUCUCAGCUAAGGAAGGAUCUUAAGAAAAUCAAAGAAGAGUUAGAUCACUCUCUAAAAUAGACUGAAUCUUCCAAGAUUCUCUCUAAUAUCUCUCCGCAAAGUAUCAAUGGGAAACGAGGUCUAUGGAGCAAAAGAAUAGAACCACCAUAUAAUCCUCAUAGCAAAUGUGUGUCUGUGGCUAAUAAUUUCUUAUGCACACUUUGUGGAAGAAAUGGACAUGUAAAAUAAAGGUGUGAUAAAUUAAAAGAUUCUAAGGAGGGGCAUGUGAAGCUUGUGAAAUCAGAAAGUCGUCAGACUAACAGCGAGCAAGGACCUGGUUCAUGUGAUGAAUCUGUCAGAAAUGAUAGACCUGUGAAGAAAUUUAAAAAAGGACAUGGUUCUCGUUUCCAUUUUAGUAAAAACUUCUCACCUCCUUGGACUAGAAGAUUUCUGGGUGGAAACAUCAAUUUUCAUAUCCACUAGACAAUCUAAUCUCUCCUCUGGAGUCAGGAAUUCAAACAAGGUCAAAGUCACACAACAUGGUGGCGUUUACAACAUUCAUAUCCCUAUAUGAAUUUAGAAUAUCAAAGAAGCGUUAAAAGAUCCCGACUGGGUAGUCUCUAUGUAAAAGGAUCUUCAUCAAUUUGAAAGAAGUAAAGUUUGGCACGUGGUCCCCCGACCAGUUGACAGAACUAUUAUAGGGACUCGUUGGGUGUUCAGAAACAAACUUGAUGAGAAUGGAAUCAUUGUUAGAAAUAAAUCAAGAUUGGUGGUGCAAGGUUACAAUCAAAAGGAAGGAAUUUAUUAUGAAGAAACCUUUGCACCCGUUGCAUGAAUGGAGGCCAUCAGAAUUCUAAUUUCUUUUGCUGUACACAAAGAGUUAAAAUUAUUCCAUAUAGAUGUGAAGAGUGCUUUUCUGAAUGGAAACUUAAAGGAGGAGGUGUAUGUUAAGAAAUCUCCAGGUUUUGAAGACUCUGAGUUGCUUGAUCAUGUACUGAAAUUGGAUAAAUCUCUGUAUGGAUUAAAGCAAGCGCCUCGAGCCUGGUAUGAGAGACUAUCAAAGUUCUUGUUAACAAAUGAGUUCAAAAGAGGCAACGUAGAUAAUACUUUGUUUUUGAAAACUAGAGGAAAAGAAUUGUUGAUUGUGCAGGUAUAUGUUGAUGAUAUAAUCUUCGGAGCAACAUCAGAUGAUCUAUGCAAGGAGUUUGCUGAGUUGAUGAGUAGCGAGUUUGAGAUGAGCAUGAUGGGUGAACUCACAUUCUUUUUAGGAUUGCAAAUUAAACAAUCCUCUCAAGGUACUUCAAUAUGUUAAGAGAAAUACAUCAAAGAGCUACUCAACAAGUUUAAGAUGCUGGAUACAAAAGUUAUGGAUAUGCCCAUAAGCACAAGUGCGAGAAUUGAUAAAGAUGAAGAAGGCAAAGAGGUUAACCAAACCAUGUAUAGGGGGAUCAUUGGAUCACUUCUAUAUUUGACAUCUAGGAGACCAGAUAGAGUAGUCAGUGUGGAAAUGUGCGCUAGAUUUCAAGCUGCACCAAAAGAAUCACACCUGAAAGCUGCCAAAAGGAUUCUGCAAUAUCUGAAGGGAACACAGGACCUGCUCAUACGUGACUCUUUUGAACUUAUAGGUUAUGAUAAUGCAGCAUAUGCAAGCUUUUUGGAGGAUAGAUAAAGUACAUCAGGAAUGGAACAUUUCUUGGGAUCAGCAAUAUUUUAUGGGGAACAAAGAAUCAAAACUCAGUGGCCUUGUCUACUGCUGACGCGGAGUAUAUUGAUGCUGCUGCUUGUUGUGCUCAACUCUUAUGGAUCAAGCAAUAAUUUAAGUAUUUUGGGGUAUUUACAGAAACAAUUCCUCUCUUGUGCGAAAACUCGUGCAAUGAAUAUGGCCAAGAAUCCACUUCAACACAACAGAACAAAGCACAUUGUUGUGAGGCACCACUGAUAUACCGUGGUUUCACGGUAUUAUUAAUACUUUUUCCUUAAGUUUAGUGUGUCCAAAAGCCCUUUUGUGCUAAUUUUUAUAUAAGUUUCUUUUUAUUUUGCAGGAAAUCUGUCCAAAGCUGAAUGCAGAGAUUUUGAGCGAAAAAAUGCAGAAGAGACCACCUAUGGAGCUUAUGACGGUCCUUCGUGCUUGAGACGGUCCGUAGGUGGCAGUGUAGUACAGCUGCUGAAGGAAGAUGGGGAAGUCUGACCAAGUGUGGGGUUACAAAGCUUGUGACGGUCCGUCGUGUCUAUGACGGUCUGUCCUACAGGUUCGUCAUGAAGUUCAUAGAAGUAAUCCCAGUAUCCAUAUUUCAAGAGUUGAAGUGCUUUGGAACGAAGACCCUCGACGGACCGUUGUGCCUAUGACGGUCCGUCAUACUUGCCGUCGAGGGUAAUGAAGAAGAGCAACAGAAGAAAUUGCACAAGUAUGGGACGACGGAGUCCAUGACGGUCCGUCGUGACAAUGACGAUCCGUCGUGACAAUGACGAUCCGUCGUGACAAUGACGAUCCGUCGCGAGGUCCGUUGACCCAGCCGCAUUUUGGCAGAUUUCCAGCAAAUAGAGUCCUUGUUUAAUUAGGUUUUUAUAUUUUAUAAAUAGUUCGAAAAACUUCAUUUUUGGUGUUAGACCCGGGAUUAUUGUUAGACUAUGGAUCAUUGUUAGACUCUGUAUUGUUAGACACCGUAUUAGUAAACAUUUUAUUGUUAGAAUUUUGAUUAUCAUUGAUUGUUGGUGAUUAAUCAAGAAAACUCUCAGAUUUUACUCUUUCUCAUUGAAGUAAGUAUAUGAAUUCUUAUUUAAUAUAUUUGAAUAUUAUGAUUAUGACUAUGAGUAACUAAACUCCAUAACUAGGGUUGUUGGAACCAUAGGCAAAUAAUGAGAUAAAACCUAACUAAAAUAACAAUUCUAGAAUGGUGUCUUGCAUGUAUUAAUAAUUCUUUCGCUUAGAAGUCUUUUUAACGGAUGGCCAACGUUAGAACUCGCCUAAAUGCUACUUGCCGGACCAAGGAGGUAGAUUAUAGGAAAAGAAUUAUCAACAUAGAUUUAGUGUAUACUAUCUAAUAGGCUAGUAUUGAUUGGUACGAGGUAAUAACUUAGUCAAAUAUCGAAUACGAUGCUUAAUAUGAGGUAAAGAUAAGGGUUAGGAUAGCAACACACGUAGACGGACCAAGGUGCGGAGUGAGAUUUUCUAGAUGCCGGACCAAGGAUUUAGAAAUACAUAACUUAUCACUUUGCAUACAAGAUACUAGGAAAGAAUUGUUAUAGUUAGAAUUAUCAAGUUAUGAACUUGUGGGGAACACGUAAAUCCUAGUUAUUUUGAUUAAUUGAUUAAAAUACAACAUUCAAAGUUGUUAAGUGUCUCUUUCGAUUGCGUUAGUUAUUUUCAUUCAUUUUGAAAUAGAAACCCCCCUUUUAUUGUUUUUACUUUCCAAGGAAGUCAUUGACCAAACAAUAGUAAUAACAGGUUGAAGUUAAGUCUAGGCUAUUUUCCUCGUGGAAGAGAUCUCAACCUCACUAGUUGGGUUAUUUACUUGACACGACCACUUUAAUUCUUAUUUGAGAAGUAAGUUUGAGCUUAUCAAAUUUUGGCGCCGCUGCCGGGGAAACUAGCUUUUAGAUUAACUUGAACUUAUUACUAUAGUUUAGUUAAUAUUUUCUUGAUUUUACUAUGUUUUAUUGUUUUUGAUUUUUUUCAGAACUAUCCUCCUUGUAUGCCAAAUACACGGAGAGGAAGAGAACCAUUGUUUCCAUACGAUCACGAAUUAGAGCGUACACUGUGCAAUGUGAAUCGAAACUUGGGAAUAAAUGAUGAUGAUCCGAACCAGAACAUCCCAGCUCCGGCUGAUGUUCAUGGUCAGAUGUUACCCGAUGCUCCGGGUGAAAACCAACAUAGGGGACAAAAUCUCUCUCCACGGCCCCAAGCAUACGAGAGGCUAUGAUAACAUAGCAGACUCCGAUGGGCCACUGGUUUUGCCUCCUCUACCCAUAGGCCACACUUUUGUGGUAACUAGUAUCGUGAUGCAAAUGCUCACAGCCAGAGGUUUGUUUUCAGGGCUACCUUCUGAGGAUCCACAUGCCCAUAUAGCUAAGGUAAGGGUAGUGUGUAAAAGCUGUGUAGGGAGGCCUGAUUUGGAUUUAGAUGUAAUAGGUCUCAGAGUGUUUCCUCUCUCACUGACGGGAGAGGUUGCUAUGUGGUUCACUGAGCUCCCAUACAACUCAAUCUUCACUUGGAACCAACUAAGGGAUGUCUUCUUAGCACGCUACUAUCCGGUCUCCAAGAAACUAAACCACAAAGACAGAGUGAAUAUCUUUGUGGCACUACCUGGAGAGUCAAUUAGUAGUUCUUGGGAUAGAUUCACCUCGUUCUUGAGAAGUGUCCCAAAUCACCAUAUAGAUGAUGAGUCACUGAAGGAAUACUUCUAUCGGGGGCAGGUGGAUCUUAUGGGGAGUGCCCUUAUGCUGAGAUCGCUGAAAAAUUAGAGAAAAUCUCCCGAAAUAACAAAGCUUGGAGUACUAGGAAGUCUGAUACAGGGAGAAACACCUUCGCAGUGCAGUCCACUCACAACCCAGCCAUAGAUGAGAUUCGCGAAGAAAUGGCUCAGAUGAGAACCGAGCUUAGGUUGGUACUAAAACAUGUCACUGGGGGUGCAGAAAAGAUACAUGCAGUCAACUACUUGGCUAAAUGAUAUAUUGUGGUUUCACGGUAUUAUUAAUACUUUUUCCUAAAGCUUAGUGUGUCCAAAGCCUUUUUGUGCUAAUUUUUAUAUAAGUUUAUCUUUGUUUUGCUGGAAAUCUGUCCAAAGCUGAAUGCGGAGAUUUUGAGCGAUGAAUUGCAGAAGAGACCACCUACGGAGCUUAUGACGGUUCGUCGUACUUGUGACGGUCCGUGGGUGGCAGCGUAGUGCAGCUGCUGAAGGAAGACGGGGAAGUCUGACCAAGUGUGGGAUUACGAAGCUUGUGACGGUCCGUCGUGGCUAUGACGGUCCCACCUGCAGGUUCAUCGUGAAGUUCAGAGAAGUGAUCCCAGUACCCAGAUUCCAAGAGUUGAAGUGUUUUGGAACGAGACCCUCGAUGGACCGGUGUGCCUAUGACGGUCCGUCAUACUUGCCGUCGAGGGGAAUGAAGACAGCAGCAGAAGAAAUUGCACAAGUAUGGGACGACGGAGUCCAUGACGGUCCGUCAUGACCGCGACGAUCCGUCGCGUUGUUUGUCGACCCAGCCGCAUUAUGGCAGAUUUCCAGCAAUUAAAGUCCUUGUUUAAUUAGGUUUUUGUUUUUUUAUAAAUUGUUCGAAAAGCCUCGUUUUUGAGGUUAGACUCUGUUAGGUUAGACUCUACGAUAUUAGACAUCAGAUUUUUAGACUUUGUGUAUUAGUGUUGGAUUUUGAGAUUCUUGCAAGUGAUUUUUGGAUAUUAAUAAGCAAACUUUGGACUUUAUUCUUUCUCAUUGAAGUAUGUACAUGAAUUCGUAUUAUAUAUACUUGAAUAUUGUGUUUAUGGCUAUGAGUAACUAAACUUCAUAACUAGGGUUGUGGGAACCAUAGGCAAAUUCUGAGAUAAACCCAAACUAAAAUAACAAUUCUAGAUUAGUGUCUUUUAUGUAUUAAUAAUUCUUUCGCUUAAAAGUCUUUUUAACGGGUGGCCAACGUUAGAACUCGCCUUAAUGCUACUUGCCGGACCAUGGAGGUAGAUAAUAGGAAAAGAAUUAUUAACAUAGAUUUAGUGUAUACUAUCUAAUAGGCUAGUAUUGAUUGGUAAGCGGUAAUAACUUAGUCAAAUAUCGAAUAUGAUGCUUAAUAUGAGGUAAGGAUAAGGGUUAGGAUAGCAACACACGUAGCCGGGCCAAGGUACGGAGUGAGAUUUUCUAGAUGCCGGACCAAGGAUUUAGAAAUACAUAACUUAUCACUUUGCAUGCAAGAUACUAGGAAAGAAUUGUUAUAGUUGGAAUUAUCAAGUUAUGAACCUGUGGGGAACACGUAAACCCUAGUUACUUUGAUUAAUUGAUUAAAACCCAACAUUCAAAUGCUGUUAAGUGUCUCUGUCAAGUUCGUUAUUUAUUUUCACUCACUUACAAAUAGAAACCCCCAUUUAUUGUUUUUACUUUACAAGGAAGUCAUUGACCAAACAAUAGUAGUAACAGGUUGAAGUUAAGUCUAGACGAUUUUCCUCGUGGGAACGAUCCCAACGUCACUAGUUGGGUUAUUUACUUGACACGACCGCUUUACUUCUUAUUUGAGAAGUAAGUUUAAGCGUAUCAAAUUUUGGCGCCGCUGUCGGGGAUUUCAGCUUUUAGAUUAACUUGAACCUAUUACUAUAGUUUCGUUGAUAUUUUCUUGAUUUUACUUUGUUUUAUUGUUUUUGAAUUCUUUUCAGAACUAUCCUUCUUGUAUGCCAAAUACACGGAGAGGAAAAGAACCCUUGUUUCCCUACGAUCAUGAGCUAGAGCGUACACUGUGCAAUAUGAAUUGAAAUUUUAGAAUAAAUGAUGAGGAUCUAAACAAGAAUAUCCCAGCUCCGGUUGAUGUUCAUGGUCAGAUGUUACCCGAUACUCCGGGUGAACUUCAACAGUGGGGACAAAAUCCCAUUCCAUGGCCCCAAGCAUACUACAGAGGAUAUGAUAACAUAGAAGACUCAAAUGGGCCACUUGUCUUGCCCCCUCUACCCACAGGCCACACUUUUGUGGUAACUAGUAGCCUGAUGCAAAUGCUCACCGCCAGAGGUUUGUUUUCAGGGCUACCUUCUGAAGAUCCACAUGCCCAUAUAGCUAAGGUAAGGACAAUGUGUAAAAUUUGUGUGUGGAGGCCUGAUUUGGAUGUAGAUGUAAUAGGUCUCAGAGUGUUUCCUUUCUCACUGACGGGAGAGGCUGCUAUAUGGUUCACUGAGCUCCCAUACAACUGAAUCUUCACUUGGAACCAAUUAAGAGAUGUCUUCUUAGCACGCUACUAUCCGGUCUCUAAGAAACUAAACCACUAAGAUAGUGUGAACAACUUUGUGGCACUACCAGGAGAGUAAGUUAGUAGUUCUUGGGAUAGAUUCACCUCAUUCCUUAGAAGUGUUCCAAAUCACUGUAUAGAUGAUGAGUUACUGAAGGAACACUUCUAUCGGGGACAGGAUGAUAACAACAAAGCGGUGUUGGACACUAUAGCAGGUGGAUCUUUUGGAGAAUGCCCUUAUGCUGAGAUCGCCGAAAAAUUAGAGAAAAUCUCCCGGAAUAACAAAGUUUUACUAGGAAGUCUGAUACAGGGAGAAACACCUUCGCAGUGCAGUCCACUCACAACCCAGCCACAGAUGAGAUUCGGGAAGAAAUGGCUCAGAUAAGAACUGAGCUUGGGUUGGUACUAAAACAUGUCACUGGGGUGCAGAAAAGAUAAAUGCAGUCAACUACUUGGCUAAGCCACCACCUCCUAAUGAUGAGUGUUAUUAUGCGGAGGACACUUAUGCAGUAAAUGAGUAGACGGGGGGUUUCCGACCAAGCGCCCAAGGCUCAAAUAAGAAUAAUUUGCGCCAAGGUCAGAACUACGGUAACUACAACCAUGAGGGUCAUUAUGUCCGAGAUGGAAACUACAACCGCGACAACAACUUUAACAGGGGUAACUAUGCUAAUAGAAACGACAGGAAUGGGCCCUAUGUCCCUCCUCAAAAUCGUGAAGUUACUCCUAGGGAUGGUGGAGAUAGUAUGGCGCGAGUUGAGGAUAUGUUGCACAAAAUGAUGAGGAGGUUCGACACUAGUGAUGAACACAUUAAAGAGUUGAGGUGUGAUUUAGCUAGUAUUGGGAAAAAGUUGAUACACAUGCAAUUUCGAUUAAACAGAUCGAAUUGCAAGUGGCCCAAUUAUCUGCGAUAGUGAACACACGGCAACCGGGCACUCUUCCUAGCAACACUGUCCAAAAUCCAAAGAAGCACUGUAUGGCAAUCACUACUCGGGGUGGUAGGCAAACCAUUGACCCACCUAUGCCAUCUAUUGAGGAAAAUGUGAGAAAGGAUAAUGAUAAUGUGGUACAGGGUAGUGUCAAGCAGAGGGAAGUAAUGGAAAAGAUGCAGAAGUACCUAUCAAGGUAAUUCCCAUGCCUAGGCUACCACCACCUUUCCCUCAGUGAUUAGUGAAAAAGACCGAGGAUGGUAAAUACCGGCGCUUCAUAACAAUGUUGAAGCAGCUCUCUAUCAAUGUCCCUUUGGUAGAAGCUCUAGAACAAAUGCCCGAUUAUGCAAAAUUUAUGAAAGAUCUCGUCACCAACAAAAGAUUGGUCACUUUUUAGGAUGAUGAUAGACUGCAGCAAUGUGGUGCUAUUUCUACAAGAUCCCUUGUACAAAAGAAAGAAGAUCCUGGUGCAUUCACUAUUCCUUGUACAGUUGGGUCAUUACAUUUUGCGAAAGCAUUAUGUGAUUUGGGAGCAAGCAUAAAUCUCAUGCCCCUCUCAAUUUACAAGAAGUUGAGUUUGGGGGAUCCAAAACCCACUGCGAUGCGGCUACUGAUGGCUGAUUAGACAAUGAAACGGCCUAUAGGGAUACUCCAUGAUGUGCUAGUAAAAGUGGAGUCAUUCAUCUUUCCGGCUGAUUUUGUUAUUCUUGAUUGUGAGGUUGACUUUGAAGUGCCUAUUAUUCAUUGGAGGCCAUUCCUUGCCACAGGUAGAGCAUUAGUUGAUAUGGAGAAGGGACAUAUGACAUUUUGGUUGAACAAUGAAGAAGCGACCUUCAAAAUUUGUAGGACCAUGAGGCAGAGUGAUGAGCUCCAAUCAGGAUCUAUCGUAUCCCACAAAGAAAAGAUGGAGGAGAUUGAACAGAAAAAUGCAAAACAAGAGUUUAUGGUUGGGGAUUUGGUGCUUGUAGAAAGUUUUGGGGUGCCUUGUCUUCCGGGCAAGCUCAAGUCUAAAUGGAUUGGCCCCUAUUUGAUUACCCAAGUAUUCCCUCAUGGAGCAGUUAAGUUAAAAGCCAAGGAAGGAGUGCGGUUUAAGAGGAACAGAGAUAGAAUAAAACUCUAUUUUGGGCAUAAAGUAUCGGGAAUAAAGUGAUAGAGGCAUACCAUCUUGAUGAAGUCUUAGUAAUCAAGGGUCCCCAAUCGUGCCGCGACAUUAAAUCAGGCGCUUGUUCGGAGGCAACCCAAUACUUAUCAUCUUUUUAGUAAUGGUAGAAUUUUUCUACUAAUGGGUUUUAUAUUUGCAGGCACAUCAUCACGAAAUUCUGCAGAAAAUUACUCUACAGCAGUCACUGACAGAGACAUCGACGGACCGUCGCAGUUGUGACGGACCUUCGUAUUCAUCCGUCGUACCAGGUAAUUUUUUUUGUUAUUUUGAAACUAGGGAACACGCAACGGAACAAACGACGGGUCUUCUCAAGUGCGACGGUCCAUCGUCGGGGAACCGUCGCGUGAUUAAUGAGGUAUACCCGACCCGACCCGGCGGAACCCUUUUUCAAAAUCAGAACGUUUAAACCCCCCAACCCCUCAUUUCACCCCCAUUACUUCAUUAUUCCUCUCAUCUCCGCUCUCUUUUCAACUUCCACACUCUCUCAACCACCGAUCAUUGCCCUCUCACAAUUCUCCAAAGCUCUAAAGUGUUGUCUACUAGUGGAAACUGCUGAUGUGAGUGUCUACCUUGUCACCGAGUACGUGUGCAUUUGUUUUUCUCCAUUUCUAAGGUAUGUGCCUCUAAUUUAUACUCAUUUAUCUUGCAUUGUUGUUUACUAGUUAGUAUUAUGCUUAGAUACUCAUCGAAUGUUGUUUACUUUAGACUAUUCUCUCUAACCUAGGUCACAAAUGUUUGAAAUUGCCAUGUUUACCACCCUAGACAUAGGUGCUUUUGCUUUGCUAGUUUCCUAGGUAGUUGGGUUAGUCACAUGUAAGUCCAAAACACUACAAGGUUGAUGUGGGUUCAAAGGGGAUGCUUAGGGUACCCUUAGUUCUGUCAUGGUUAUUCAGAACGAGACCCCGAUGACGGACUGUCGUACCUAUGACAGACCGUAGUAGGUUCCAUUGCAAAAGCCCUAACACCCCUAUCCCAAUGGACACAUGUGACGGAUCGUCGUACUCGCGAUGGUCCGUCCUGCAUAACCGUCAUGCUAGACAGAGACCCUGUUUCUAAGGGUCUCUCAUUUUUCCUCAAGUGUUCCCCAACAGACACAUGUGACGGACCGUCGUCUUCACAACGGUCCGUCCUGCACAACCGUUCUGGUUGUCAGAGACCCCUCUCCUCAGGGUCUCCAUUUUUUCCCAAGUGUCCUACGACGGACAUAUAUGACGGACAAUCGUACUUGUGACGGUCCGUCCUGCACAUACCGUCAUGCUAGUCAGAGAAUCUCCUUCAGGGUUUUCUAUAUAUACAUAGUCUAAGUUAAACACGACGGACCUCAUGACGGUCCGUCAUAGUCACGACGAGCCGACACCUGGCCCAUCGUGUGUCACUGCUUCUACAGCAAUGACAUACUAUUUUUAAUGUUUUAUUUCGUCUGGUUUCGCGUGUCUUGUUUGCCACUACUCGUACUAAUAUUGAUUAUUUGCAGGUACUACCUACUAUGGCACCUAAGCAAGACCGAAGCUACGCACGUGGCGAUCAAAGUCUGUCGCCCCGUCUGCAUGCAUGAUCAUUGGCUCUGAUGAUGAGCGGGACCCUGAGUAUGUGCCCCCAGGCACUUCCACACCUUCCCGUGCUGCACGUGCUCGAAGAGCCACACCCAAAAAGGUGGCGUCCGGCGUAGUCACUGCCUCCCAGUAUGAUGAGGAGCGCACACUGACCGGCACACCCUCUGGGUCAGCCACAAAUGAGGAAGGAGCGUCUAGCUCCUUGUGAGUAUCCUGGUCCGAGGAAGCCUCUGACUCAGCUGAGGUUCCCGCCCUUGCCACUGCUGCAGCAUCGGCCUCGUUUGAUAAGGCUGAAACUUCAGACUCUACAUCCGGCUCACCAGCUUAGGUCCCCACUCCAGCCACUGACCAACCCAACCGGUGGAGUGUCGACGGGCAGUUUCAAGUCUAAUCUGAUGCCAAGUUCCUGACUUAUAAAAGAGUAAUGGCAGGAACACUCACCAUGGAGCGGCGGGUACUUACAGGGAGUCUCCCAACGAUGCUGGAGAUCAACAACCUCUUCACCAGGCAUCGCUUAGAGUGGACAGCACGUCCUUUGGGAUGAUACAGCGAGGAAAUGGUCCGAGAGUUCUACGCAUCCUACGUAGUGACUCUCUGAUCACAGAUCGAUAGGCGGGCUUCUCCCGCUAAACAGGCCCCACUGGAGCAGGUUCGAGUCUGAGGUGUGCAGGUUGACAUUUCCCUGCCAGCCAUUCGCCGGUUUCUAUACGGCGAGAGUGCAGAUGCUACUCGGACCCCCAUCACUGCCGAGUUUGACUACCGCUGGCAGAUAGUAAAGCAUGGACAGUUCUUGCGCGAGCCAGCACUGAGAAAGACCACGAAGAGGUGGAUGGCCCUGCACCUGUCAGUAGAUAGAGAGGGUGCCGAUUGGGUGAUUGAGCCGAAAGGGGCCAUCAAGAAGGCCAACCUCACAUUCACAGCAAAGUUCAUGUGGCUGCUUGUCCGUCACUGCCUUUCCCUCACAGGUGCUGAUGACGUAGUUACCUGGGAUCGAGCAGUGUUGAUGGCGGCGAUGAUAGCCGAAUUCGAGGUGGACUUCGCAUGACUUCUUUAGGCAGUCAUGCAUGAGAGGGCAUUCAAGGUCACUACUACCUACCCUUUCCCGUGCAUGAUCUUUGCCCUUUGCAGGUCCGCAGGUGUGGCCAUAUGGCACGUAGAUCAGCUUAAGACCCCGCAGGGCACUGUAGACGUCGGUCUCAUCAGAGACGAGGCCAAUGAGUUGUCUCCACGCAGAGGACCCCGUCUAGAGCUGCCCCCACUUGCUGAUGAUCUUGCUGAUACGGUAGCCCUGGCCCGCACAGCUACACAGGCGUCCACUGACACUACCCCGGUCGAGUCUAUCCUGGGUAGUAGCACAGCCCCGAUCUCCUUUCGCACAGCCCCUCUACCGACACUGGUCCCUCUUGCAAGGGUCCAAAAACUAAACGCACAAAUGUCCACUCUUCUGCAUCAUAUCCAGUCAUGGGUGCAGAGGUCGAUCACUGAGUCCGAAGAGCGUCUAGAGAGGAAGAUGAUGCAGUUUAUAGAGCGGAAGAUCGCUGAGGUUAACCAGUAUCUGGACACCUUUGAGUUGAGAGUGCUAGUCCAACCAGCCCCUCCGGUGGAUGUGUCGACUCUUCAGGCUGCAGUCGACAGUCUUCGUGCAGACAUCGACAAGAUCUUAGAGGCUAGGGUGCUGGAGCAUGAGGCCCCUUCUGUCGAGCAUGCUGAGGACACCAUGUUGGCAGCCCUUUUUGCUAAUUUAGAAGUUCCACCACCUCCCCCUCGAGAGAGUGCCAAGAGGCAUAGGUUUCGAUCAGAGGACGAGGCUCGAGCAAGGAAUAAGGAGCGCCGAGAGAUGGAGGCUGCGCGGAGAUCCUCCCUUGCUGAGUAGGAGGCGAACCGAAUGAGAGCAUCUGAGUUAGCAGUUGGGGCGUGUAGCUCCCGCACUGUGGAGAUAGCAGGAGGCACUACUGAUGGUGCGGUUGUUGCUGAAGACACCACUGAGGGUGUCCAGAUUGCAGAGGACGUGGGUUUCGGGGAACCGAACCCACCAUCUUGCUGAUCGAUGGCGCUUUGCGCCACAGGUUUGCUUCACCUACCACUCUUGUAUUAAGGUUUUUAUGCAUCGAGGAUAAUUGCAUGCCUUUUUGUUGGUGGUAGGGUAAAUGGAUAGUGAGUGUUAGGGUGAAGUCUGAGUAGCCCAAUUCACUAUCUUCUUUUGGGGUUUUCUUACCUGUGUUCUUUUCCCCCCAAAAGACUGAUUACUUUUUCUAUUGAACCGGCAUGUUUAUAUCUUUUGUACAUAGUUUAAGUGUGAAGCAUGAUGGCUAAAAUGUUAUCCUGAUAAACUAGAAAAUAAUGCAUGACUAGGCAUAGUAACUAAUAAUUGUGUGACUCUAAGCAUGAAACAGAGUUAUACAAUUGCAUUACCCUAAGUCUUAAAUUCAAACUAGGUGUCUGAUAAUCUGGUAUAGUGAUGAGAUGUCAAGUGAGUGUGAGGAAAUUUGAAUAGUCCACUAUUGGUACUGAGCUAGAACUUGCCUGGUUAGUUCUGCUAAAAGUAAGCUGUAAUAGACAAUUAGGAAAGGAUCAUAGGCCCUUAUUCAAUAUAGCCCAUUUCUAGCCUAAAGAAAAGAAACCAAAUGAAAUUUAUCCUUCUUUGAUCCAAAUAAUCUGAGCUUAAAAUUUGACCUUUCUUUUUCACCCAAACUGAUCUUUUCUUGGAAUAAUGUGUUGGCCCUGGUCCCUCCUUGGACAUGUGCACCUCAGCUUAUGCCAAAAGCAUAAGUUGAGGGUGUCUAAUGCAUAAACAACCUUCGUUAUGGUGCUGACCCGACUUUGGGUAUUGUGUACCUUGACUCAUAGCAAAGCCAUGAGUUGAGGGUGGCUACUAUGAGGAAUGCUCUGGAAAGUGGGGUUGAAAGAGCAAAGAGAGAGAAAGAACAAAAGUAAAAUGACUCAAGAAUUAUAUGAAAAGAAAAUUAUAGAAAACAAAAAAUACAAGCAAGAAAAGAGGAGAGUCACUUACACAAAUGAAGAAAGAAGAGAAAAUAGCAAGGUGAAAGAAUAUGAGAAACUGGGCAAGAUGAAACGAGAGACAGUGGAAGGUGUAGCCGAUAUGUCAAGGAGGUCAAAAAGUCACUAAAGUAUACUAAAAUAUAUCUUACCUAACCUCGAGCCUAUGUUACUUGCUAAAAAAGUCCUACCGUGAUCCUAAGGGUUGUAUAGCGAACUUAAGGCAGUGAAAAUAAGGGCAAGCUUAUGGCAAAAGGUAUGAAUGAGUGUGACUUUGUUCUAAGAGUGAGUGUUGAAAAGUAAUCCUUAUACUCAAACUUAAAUCAUUGUGUGAAAAAGGAGGAUUUUGUUUUAAAGUGAGGACACUAGUUACAAUACCGAAAUUGUUAGCACCUCGGUGAGAAAUUGAAGAGGAUAUGUGUUAGUGCGUUGUGAGUCUGUGUCAUGUUCUGAUCCCACAAAAUUCAAGCCUAAUAGUGAUAGCAUGCAUAGAUGUGAUGAGAUUAAUCGGGAUUGAUAGCCAAAUGAUUGCAAAGGAUAAAACAUGGAUACUAUUGUACAAAGUUUGUGUAGUGAGUCAUAGUGCGUCGCUUGAGGACAAACAAAGAAUAUAAGUUGAGGGUGUUGAUAUACCGUGGUUUCAUAGUAUUAUUAAUACUUUUUCCUUAAGUUUAGUAUGUCCAAAAGCCUUUUUGUGCUAAUUUUUAUAUAAAUUUCUCUUUGUUUUGCAGUAAUCUGUCCAAAGCUGAAUGCGGAGAUUUUCAGCGAGGAAUUGCAGAAGAGACCACCUACGGAGCGUAUGACGUUCCGUCGUACUUGUCAUGGUCCGUGGGUGGAUGCGUAGUGCAGCUGCUGAAGGAAGAUGGGGAAGUCUGACCAAGUGUGGGAUUACGAAGCUUGUGACGGUCCGUCGUGGCUUUGACGGUCCGUCCUGCAGGUUCGUCGUAAAGAUCAGAGAAGUGAUCCCAGAACCCAGAGUCCAAGAGUUGAAGUGUUUUGGAACGAGACCCUCGACGGACCAUUGUGCCUAUGACGGUCCGUCAUACAUGCCGUCGAGGGGAAUGAAGAUAGCAGCAGAAGAAAUUGCACAAGUAUGGGACGACGGAGUCCAUAACGGUCCGUCGUGACCGCGACGAUCCGUCGUGACCGCGACGAUCCGUCGCCUGGUCCGUUAACCCAACCGCAUUUUGACAAAUUUCAAGCAAUUAGAAUCCUUGUUUAAUUAGGUUUUUGUUUUUUAUAAAUAGUUUGAAAAACCUCGUUUUUGAGGUUAGACUCUGUUAGGUUAGACUCUAUGAGAUUAGACAUCAGAUUUUUAGACUUUGUGUAUUAGUGUUGGAUUUUGAGAUUCUUGCAAGUGAUUUUUGGACAUUAAUCAAGCAAACUUUGGAUUUUAUUCUUUCUCAUUGAAGUAAGUACAUGAAUUCGUAUUUAAUAUAUUUGAAUAUUGUGUUUAUGGCUAUGAGUAACUAAACUCCAUAACUAGGGUUCUGGGAACCAUAGGAAAAUAAUGACAUAAACCCAAACUAAAAUAACAAUUCUAGAUUAGUGUCUUGCAUAUAUUAAUAAUUCUUUCGCUUAAAAGUCUUUCUAACGGAUGGCCAACGUUAGGACUCGCCUUAAUGCUUGGUGUAUAGAUUUAGUGUAUACUAUCUAAUAGGCUAUAUUGAUUGGUACGCGGUACUUAGUCAAAUAUCGAAUACGAUGCUUAAUAUGAGGUAAGGAUAAUAGUUAGGAUAGCAACACACUUAGCUGGACCAAGGUACGUAGUGAGAUUUUCUAGAUGCCGGACCAAGGAUUUAGAUAUACAUAACUUAUCACUUUGCAUGCAAGAUACUAGGAAAGAAUUGUUAUAGUUGGAAUUAUCAAGUUAUGAACCUGUGGGGAACACGUAAACCCUAGUUACUUUGAUUAAUUGAUUAAAACCUAACAUUCAAAAGCUGUUAAGUGUCUCUGUCAAGUUCGUUAUUUAUUUUACUCAUUUACAAAUAGAAACCCCCCUUUAUUGUUUUUAGUUUCCAAGGAAGUCAUUGACCAAACAAUAGUAAUAACAGGUUGAAGUUAAGUAUAGACUAUUUUCCUUGUGGGAACGAUCCCAACCUCACUAGUUGGGUUAUUUACUUGACACGACCGCUUUACUUCUUAUUUGAGAAGUAAGUUUGAGCGUAUCACUAAACCACCACCUUCUAAUGAUGAAUGUUAUUAUGCGGAGGACACUUAUGCAGUAAAUGAGCAGACGGGGGGUUUCCGACCAAGCGCCCAAGGCUCAAAUUAGGAUAACUGGCGCCAAGGUCAAGGGAACCAAGAACAGAACUAUGGUUACUACAACCGCGAGGGUCACUAUGUCUGAGAUGGAAACUACAACUGCGACAAUAACUUUAACAGGGGUCUAUGCUAAUCGAAACGACCGGAAUAGGCCCUAUGUUCCUCCUCAAAAUCGUGAAAUUACUCCUAGGGAUGGUGGAGAUAGUAUGGCCCGAGUUGAGGAUAUGUUGCACAAAAUGAUGAGGAGGUUCGAUGCUAGUGAUGAGCAUAUUAAAGAUUUGAGGUGUGAUUUAGCUAGUAUUGGGCAAAAAGUUGAUACACAUGCAAUUUCGAUUAAGCAGAUCUAGUUGCAAAUGGCCCAAUUAUCUGCGACAGUGAACACACGGAAACCGGGCACUCUUCCUGGCAACACUGUUCAAAAUCCAAAGAAUGAUGCGCACUGUAUGACAAUCACUACUCAGGGUGGUAAGCAAACUAUUGACCCACCUAUGCCGUCUACUGAGGAAAAUGUGAGAAAGGAUAGUGAUAAUGUGGUAAAGGGUAGUGGUGAAGCAGAGGAAAGUAAUGGAAAAGAUGCAGAAGUACCUAUGAAGGUAAUUCCCAUGCCUAGGACACCACCACCUUUCCCUCAGAGAUAAGUGAAAAAGACCAAGGAUGAUAAAUAACGGUGUUUCAUAACAAUGUUGAAUCAGCUUUCUAUCAAUGUCCCUUUGGUAGAAGCUCUAGAACAAAUGCCCGGUUAUGUCAAAUUUAUGAAAGAUUUGGUCACCAAGAAAAGAUCGGUAACUUUUGAGGAUGAUGAUAGAUUGCAGCAUUGUAGUGCUAUUGCUACAAGAUUCCUCGUACAAAAGACAGAAGAUCCGGGUGCGUUCACUAUUCCUUGUACACUUGGGUCAUUACAUUUUGCGAAAGCACUAUGUGAUUUGGGGGCAAGCAUAAAUCUCAUGCCCCUCUCAAUUUACAAGAAGUUGGGUUUGGGGGAUCCAAAACCCACUGCGAUGCGGCUACUGAUGGUUGAUUGACAGUGAAACGGCCUAUAGGGAUACUCCAUGAUGUGCUAGUAAAACUAGAGUCAUUCAUCUUUCCGGCUGAUUUUGUUAUUCUUGAUUGUGAGGUCGAUUUUGAAGUGCCUAUUAUUCUUGGGAGACCAUUCCUUGCUACAGUUAGAGCCUUAGUUGAUAUGGAGAAGGGGCAGAUGAAAUUUUGGUUGAACAAUGAAGAAGCGACCUUCAACGUUUGUAGGACCAUGAGGCAGAGUGGUGAGCUCCAAUUGGUAUCAGCCAUAUCCCACAAAGAAAAGAUGAAGAAAUAGAAUGAAGAAAAAAGUGCAAAACAAGAGUUUUUGGUUGGGGAUUUGGUGCUUGUAGACAGUUCUGGGUGCCUUGUCUUCCGGGCAAGCUCAAGUCCAAAUGGACUGGCCCUUACUUGAUUACCCAAGUAUUCCCUCAUGGAGCAGUUGAGUUAAAAUCCGAGGAAGUGCGGUUUGAGGUUAACUGAGAAUGAAUAAAACUCUAUUUUGGGCAUAAAGCAUCGGGGAAUAAAGUAAUAGAGUCAAACCAUCUUGAUGAAGGCUGAGUAAUCUAGUGUCCCUAGUCGUGCCGCGACAUGAAAUCAGGCGCUUGUUGGGAGGAAACCCAAUACUUAUAGUCUUUUUACUAAUGGUAGCCUUUUUCUACUAAUGGGUUUUUAAAUUUGUAGUCACAUCACCAGGAAAUUCUGCAGAAAAUUACUCUGCAGCAGCCACUGACGGAUACAUCGAUGGACCGUUGCACCUGCGACAGACCGUCGUAUGCCUCCAUCAUAUCAGGUACGUUUUUCUGUCAUUAUAAAACUAGGGAACACACGACGAAUCGUCACAACUGAGACGGACCGUCGUCGCGGAGUCGUUGCAUAAUUAAUGAGUCGUACCCGACCCGACCCGGCUAGAGUCUUUUUCAAAAUCAGACCGUUUAAACCCCCAACCCCUCAUUUCACCCCAUUCCUUCAUUUUACCUCCCAUUUCCCUUUCUUUUCAACUUCCACAUUCUCUCCCUCGAUCAUUGUUCCCCCAAAAUUCUCCAAAGCCCUAGAAGUUAUCAUCUACUAGUCGGAGUUGGUGCUGUGGGUGUCUUCUUGUUCAUAGAGUACUUGCCCAUCUUGUUUUUUCUCCAAUUCUAAGGUAUGUGUAUCUAAUUUCUACUCAUUUAUCUUGCAUUUUUGUUUAUUAAUUAGUAUUAGCUUAGUUCUUCAUCAUAUGUUUGUCUCUUUUAAAAGAUUCUGUCUAACCUAGGUUAAAAAUGUUUGAAAUUGCCGUGUUUAUAACCCUAGACAUAGGUGCUUUUGCAUUGCUAGUUUCCUAGGUAGUUGGGUUAGACAAAUGUAGGUCCAAAACACUACAAGUUUGACCAGGGUUCAUUGGGGAUGCAUGGGGUACUCCCAGUUCUGUCACUGAUAUACAGAAUGAGACCCCGAUGACGGACCAUCGUACCCACGAUGGACCGUCGUAGGGUUUGUUCCAAAAGCCCUAGCACCCUUUUCCAACGGACAUAUGUGACGGGCCGUCGUCUGGUUGUUAGAGACCCAAUUUCUAAGGGUCUCUCAUUUUUUUACAAGUGUUCCCGAACGGACACAUGUGACGGAUCGUCGUCUUCACGACGGUCCGUCCUGCACAACCGUUCUGGUUGUCAGAGACCCUGUUUCUAAGGUUCUCUCACUUUUUCUAAGUGUCCUUCAACGGAAACAUGUGACGGACCGUCAUAUACCCACUACGGUCCGUCCUGCAUGACCGUCAUGACUGUCAGAGACCCCUGUCCUAAAGGUCUCCAUAUUUUUUUCAAGUGUCCUACGACGGACACCUAAGACGAACUGUCAUACCUGUGACGGUCCAUCCUGCACAUAACGUCAUACUAGUCAGAGACUCUUCUUCAGGGUUCUCCAUAUAUACGUAGUUUAAGUAAAACACGACGGAGCCCAUGAUGGUUCGUCAUAGUCACGACGAACAGUCACCAGGCCCGUCGUGUGUCCCUGUUACCAUAGUAAUGACAUACUAUUUUAAUUGUUUCUGUGGUUUUUCUUGUCUUGUUUGCCACUUCUCAUACUAAUAUUGAUCCUUUAAAGGUACUAUCUACUAUGGCACCCAAGCAAGACCGAAUCUACGCACGCGGGCGAUCGUAGUCUGUCGCCCCGUCUGCCCGCAUGGUCAUUGGCUCAGAUGAUGAGCGUGACCCCGAGUAUUUGCCCCCAGGAACUUCCACCCCUUCCCGUGCUGCACGUGCUCCAAAAGCCACACCCAGAUAGGUGGCGUCUGGCGUAGUCACUGCCUCCCUGUCUGAUGAAGAGCGCACACUGACCGACACACCCUCUGCGUCAGCCACAAAUGAAGAUAGAGAGUUUGGCUCCGUAGGACUAUCGUGGUCAAAGGAAGCCUCUGGCUCUGCUGAGGUUCCCGCACCCGCUGCCGCUGCAGCGUCGGCCUCAUUUGAUGAGGCUGACAGUUCAGAAGCCACAUCAGGUUCACCAUCUUAGGUCCCCAACCCAGCCACUGACCAGCCCAACUGGUCGUGUGUCAACGGGCAAUUUCAAGUCUACUCCGAUGCCAAGUUCCUGACUGAUAAAGGAGUGAUGACUCGAACACUCACCUUGGAGCGGCGGGUCCUUACAUGGAGUCUCCCGACGAUGCCUGAGAUCCACAAUCUUUUCACAGGCAUCGCUUGGAGUGGACAACAUGUCCGUUGGAACAUUACAAUGAAGAAAUGGUCCGAGAGUUCUACGCAUCCUACGUAGCGACUCUCCGAUCACAGAUCGAUAGGCGGGCCGCCCCCGCUAAACAGGCCCCACUAGAGCAGGUCCGAGUACGGGUUCUAUACGGCGAGGGUGUUGAUGCUACUCGGACCCCUUUCACUACCGAGUUUGACUACCGCUGACAGAUAGUUAAAGAUGGCCAGUUCCUACGCGAGCCAUCACUGAAAGACCACAAAGAGGUGGAUGGCCCUACACCUAUCAGUUGAUGGAGAGGGUGCCGACUGGGUAACUGAGCCAAAGGGGGCCAUCAAGAAUGCCAACCUCACUUUCACGGUGAUGUUCUUGUGGCUGAUUGUCCGUUACUGACUUUCCCCCACAGCUGCUGAUAAUAUCGUUACAUGGGAUCGAGUAGUGUUGAUGGCGGCGAUGAUAGCCGGGUUCGAGGUGGACUUUGCGUUGCUUCCACAAACAGUGAUGCACGAGAGGGCUUUCAAGUUCACUACUACUUACCCUUUCCCGUGCAUGAUCUUUGCUCUCUGCAGGUCCGCAGGUGUGCCUAUAUGGCACGUAGAUCAGCUCAAGACCCCUCAGGGCACUGUUGACGUUGGCCUCAUUAGAGAUGAGGCCAAUGAGUUGUCUCCACGCAGAGGGCCCCAUCCACAGCUGCCCCCACUUGCUGAUGAUCUUGCUGACAUGGUAGCCCAGGCCCGCACGGCUACACAGGCGGCGUCCACUGACACUACCCCGGUCGAGUCUAUCCCGGGUAGUAGCACUGCCCCGAGCUCCUCUCGCAUAACCCCUCUACCAGCACUGGUCCCGCUUGCUAGGGUAAAAAAAUUAGAGGCACAAAUGGCUACACUUCUGCAUCAUGAGUCAAAAGAGAGCCUAGAGCGGAAAAUAGUCCAGUAUACAGAGCAGAAGAUCGUUGAGGUUCACUAGCGCUUGGACGCCUUUGAGUUGAGGGUGUUAGCCCGACCAGCCCCUCCGAUGGAUGUGUCAACUCUUAAGGCUGUAGGUGACAGUAUUCGUGCAGAUAUUGACACGAUCUUAGAGGCUAGGGUGCCGGAGUCUUAGGCCACUUCUGUCGAGCCUGCUGAAGACACAGUGUUGGCGGCCCUAUUUGCCACUUAAGAGAUUCCACUACCUCCCCCUCGAGAGAAUUCCAAGAGGCAUAGGGUCGAGCAGAGGACGAGGCACGAGCACGGAAGAAGGAGCGCCGAGAGAUGGAGGCUGUGAAGAGAUCCUCACUUGCUGAGGAGGAGGCGCACCAAAUGAGAGCAUCUGAGUUAGCAGUUGGGGCAUCUAGCUCCCACACUGUGGAUAUAGCAGGAGGCACCACUGAUGGUGCGGUUGUUGCUGAGGACACCACUGAGGGUGUCAAGAUUGCAGAGGACGUGGGUUCCGGGGAACCGGACCCACCAGCUUGCUGAUCUACAGUGCUUUGCGCCGCAGGUUUGCUUCACCUACCACUUUAGUAUUUAAAUUUUUAUGCAUUGGAGACAAUUGCAUGUUUUUUGUUGGGGGUGGGGUAAAUGGAAAGUGAGUGUUAGGGUGAAGUCUGAGUAGCCCAAUUCACUAUUCUCUUUUGGGGGUUUUUUGCAUGUGUUUUUUUCCCCAAAAGACUGAUUACUUUUUCUGUUGAACCGCCAUGUUUAUAUCUUUUGUACAUAGUUUAAUUCUGGAGCAUGAUGGCUAAAAUGAUAUCCUAAUAAACUGGAAAAUGAUGCAUGACUAGGCAUAGUAACUGAUAAUUGUGUGGCCCUAAGCAUGACAUAGGGGUACACCAUUGCAUUACCCUAAGUCUAAAAUUUGAACUAGGUGUCUGAUAAUCUGGUAUAGUGAUGAAAUGUCAAGUGAGUGUGAGGAAAAUUCAAAUAAUCCACUAUUGGUACUGAGCUAGAACUUGCCUGGUUAGUCCUGCUAAAAGUAAGCUGUAAUAGACAAUUAGGAAAGGAUCAUAGGCCCUUAUUCAAUAUAGCCAUUUCUAGCCUAAAUAAAAGAAACCAAAUGAAAUUUAUCCUUCUUUGAUCCAAAUGAUCUGAGCUUAAAUUAGACCUUUCUUUUUCAUCCCAACUGAUCUUUUCUGGGAACAAAUUGUUGGACCUGGUCCCUCCUUGGACAUGUGCACCUCAGCUUAUGCCAAAAGCAUAAGUUGAGGGUGGCUAAUGCAGUAAACAACCUUCGUUAUGGCCCUGACCCAACUUUGGGUAUUGUGUACCUUGACUCAUGGCAAAGCCAUGAGUUGAGGGUGGCUAUUAUGAAUUCUCUGGAAAGUGGGGUUGAAAGAACAAAGAGAGAAAAAGAACAAAAGUAAAGUGACUCAAGAAUUAGUCGAAAGAAAAGUAAAGAAAAAGAAAAAUAUACAAGAAAUACAAGCAAGAAAAGAAGAGAGUCACUUACACAAAUGAAGAAAGAAGAGAAAAUAGCAAGGUGAAAGCAUAUGAGGAAAUGGGCGAGAUAAAAUGAUAGAAAGUGAAAGGUUUAGUCGAUAUGUUAAGGAGGGCAAAAAGUCACUAAAGUAUACCUAAAUAUACCCUACCUGACCCUGGGCCUAUGUUACAAGCUAAGAAAGUCCUAUCGUGAUCCUAAGGGUUGUAUAGCAAACUUAAAGCAGUAAAAAUAAGGGUAAGCAUAUGGCAAUAAGUAUGAAUGAGUGUGACUUUGUUAUGAGAGAGAGUGUUGAAAAGUAAUCCUUAUACUCUAACUGAAAUCAUUGUGUGAAAAAGGAGGAUUUUGUUUUGAAGUGAGGACACUAGUUGCAAUACCGGAAUUUUUAGCACCUCGGUGAGAAAUUGAAAAGGAUAGGUGUUAGUGCAUGGUGAGUCUGUGUCAUGUUCUGAUCCCACAGAAUUCAAUCCUAAUAGUGUUAGCAUUCAUAGAUUUGAUGAGAUUAAUCGGGAUUGAUAGCCAAAUGAUUGCAAAGGAUAAACCAUGGGUACUAUUGUACAAAGAUUUUGUAUGGAGUCAUGGUGCGUCGCUUGAGGACAAACAACGAAUUUAAGUUAAGGGUGUUGAUAUACCGUGGUUUCACGGUAUUAUUAGUACAUUUUCCUUAAGUUUAGUGUGUCCAAAAGUCUUUUUGUGCUAAUUUUUAUAUAAGUUUCUUUUUAUUUUGCAGGAAAUUUGUCUAAAGCUGAAUGCGGAGAUUUUGAGUGAAGAAAUGCAGAAGAGACCACCUACGGAGCUUAUGACGGUCUGUCUUGUUUGAGACGGUCCGUAGGUGGCAACGUAGUGCAGUUGCUGAAGGAAGAUGGGGAAGUCUGACCAAGUGUGGGGUUACGAAGCUUGUGACGGUCCGUCGUGUCUAUGACGGUCCGUCCUGUAGGUUCAUCAUGAAGUUCAGAGAAGUAAUCCAGUACCCAUAUUCCAAGAGUUGAAGUGUUUUGGAACGAAGACCCUCGACGUACUGUUGUGCCUAUGACGGUCCAUCAUACUUGCCGUCGAGGGUAAUGAAGAAGAGCAGCAGAAGAAAUUGCACAAGUAUGGGACGAUGGAGUCCAUGACAGUCCGUCGUGAUUAUGACGAUCCGUCACGAGGUCCGUCGACCCAGCCGCGUUUUGGCAGAUUUCCAUCAAAUAGAGUCCUUGUUUAAUUAGGUUUUUAUUUAUUAUAAAUAGUUUGAAAACCCUCAUUUUUGGGGUUAGACCCGGGAUCAGUGUUAGACUCUGGAUCAUUGUUAGACUCUAUAUUGUUAGACACCAUAUUAGUAAACAUUGUAUUGUUAGACUUUUGGUUAUCAUUGAUUGUUGGUGAUUUUUGGUGAUUAAUCAAGAAAACUCUCGGAUUUUACUCUUUCACAUUGAAGUAAGUACAUUAAUUCUUAUUUUAAUAUAUUUGAAUAUUGUGAUUAUGACUAUGAGUAAUUAAACUCCAUAACUAGGGUUGUGGGAACCACAGACAAAUAAUGAGAUAAAACCUAACUAAAAUAACAGUUCUAGAAUGGUGUCUUGAAUGUAUUAAUAAUUCUUUCGCGUAGAAGUCUUUUUAACGGAUGACCAACGUUAGAACUCGCCUUAAUGCAACUUGCCGGACCAAGGAGGUAGAUAAUAGGAAAAGAAUUAUCAACAUAGAUUUAGUGUAUACUAUCUAAUAGGCUAGUAUUGAUUGGUACGAGGUAAUAACUUAGUCAAAUAUCGAAUACGAUGCUAAAUAUGAGGUAAAGAUAAGGGUUAGGAUAGCAACACACGUAGCCGGACCAAGGUGCGGAGUGAGAUUUUCUAGAUGGAGGACCAAGGAUUUAGAAAUACAUAACUUAUCACUUUGCAUGCAAGAUACUAGGAAAUAAUUGUUAUAGUUAGAAUUAUCAAGUUAUGAACCUGUGGGGAACACGCAAACCGUAGUUAUUUUGAUUAAUUGAAUAAAAUCCAACAUUCAAAGCUGUUAAGUGUCUCUUUCAAUUGCGUUAGUUAUUUUCAUUCAUUUAGAAAUAGAAACCCCCCUUUUAUUGUGUUUACUUUCCAAGGAAGUCAUUGACCAAACAAUGGUAAUAACAGGAUGAAGUUAAGUCUAGACUAUUUUCCUCGUGGGAAUGAUCCCAACCUCACUAGUUGGGUUAUUUACUUGACACAACCGCUUUACUUCUUAUUUGAGAAGUAAGUUUUAAGCGUAUCAACCACUCCUGCGAGACAAUGUAGAAAACAUGAAUGUGUUGAUGAGAUUCUCCAGCACUGAACAUCAAUUGGCUGAUAUAUUCACAAAGUCAAAAGUAAAGUUUUCUUAAAAAUAGACUGAGACUUGGAAUGGUUAAGCUUGCAUAACUCUCGAACAAGACUAUUAAGGAGAUCUAAAAUGGCUAUGCUUAGGAGGACAUGUAUCUAUGUUCUAAUAAACAUUACGUGCUUGAGAAUUCACGAUUUGUACCUUACUGCAGGUAUACACUCAUGGUAUGAAUAGCUGAGGAGAUGAUGAAACCACACAAAAAUUGGGCAGACAAAUCAUAAGGGGGAUCUGGUCCCUUACAAUGAUAGUAUCAUUUAAUACUACACUGACAAAUGUCUACAUCAUCACCUCGUGUCUUCGUCUUAUUAGUCUCAUCAGUUUCAAAUAUCCUUUCUUUUUGAAAAUGAAGAGUCGACACUGUUUAGGACCCGAUUCCAUCUUGUUUUAAAUAUUUUAGUUUCUCCUCAACAAACUUAAAAAAUAAUUCUAUACUCUUGCUUUCUGAUUAAUUUUUUCUUUCUCUUGCCUUCUAUUUCUCAAAAUGUCUAAGUCUAAUUCUUCUUUGCAAGCCUAUAUCUCUCCAAAAAUCGAAAAACCCAGUUCAUUCAAUUUCUCCAUCCCCGUUCGAAAGAGUCGUCAUUUCUCCAUCCCCGUUCUAAAGAGUCGUCGUUAACCCCUCUGUGUGAAAAUAGAACACAAGUAAGACCUGUAUCUCCUGUAAAUCCAGUUGAAGUUCGAUUUGCUCAUCCUAGAAUGGACGGAGUAUCGUGUACCCCUACACUGGUGUUGUUUGAGAAAAAUUCUCAUACAUCUGAAGCAUAAUUAGUGCCUAAACCAAGUUCUAAACAAGGUUCUGAUGAAAUCGAGGGUGCUUAGAUGGUAGUUUCAUCGUCAAUAACUGAAAGGUUGUUUAAAGGUGAUCUUCAUGAGGGAAAAAGGCCAGAAUCUUGCAUUCUCAAAGCACGAGCUUAAUUGGUGGAAAUACAAAGUGUGUCCUCACUUAGGGAUGACUCCCAUACCUUGUUGUUGAAUGAGACGUUUAGGUCGCCAGAUCAGGUUAUCACUAAAAGUCAACCUAUCUUUGAUAACACUCACAAGUCUUUUGAUGUGGAAUCUGAAGGGGAGGAAGAGGAGGAAGAAGUGCUUUUACGAUGGAAGAGGCAAGGAAUGAGGGGAAGCAUUCAUUCUCUUGUUAGUUGUCAAGAACAAGAAAUUAGGUUGGGAAACACGGACGAUAUGGAGUACACUCAUACUGAUAGUGAUGAGGAAAGAAAGAGAAAAGGGAAAGGAAAGUUGAUUAAAUCUAAUGUGAAGGAAGGUAAACGGAAAUAUGGCACUCGAAGUGCCACACAAAAGGUGUUGGGUAGUGCUAUGGCGGCAAAUGUUGUACAAACACAAAGAAGAAGACAACAAAGAAUUCAAGGGUUAACUUAAGAGGACCCCGUUGUUGACCCGAUCCCCGUCGAGGAUAGUGGUUCAAAGUAAGAGGAUGUUGCCAAAUCUGUGGCAAAACGAAGAAGGGGAUCAGGAGGUGCAAAGGAGAAAGUUAAUGAGGGUCAAAAGAAUCUAAAGUAACCUCUAGUCAAGAAGGUUAAAAAGAAGAUAACCCAUAAGAAAAUAAAAUAUAAAGUUUCAUCUGUAAAUGAACCUGGUCCCCAAGGUAAAGUCUGAUGAAAUAUGACAUGACAAGAGAAAAAAGGGUUGAGAGAAUGAAACUGCAAAAGGUUUUGAAUGGUAGAGUAUUUGCUAAAGAUAUUCUGACAGAGCACGUCAUGGUAGCCCUUGUUGAUGCUGUUACUAUACAAGAAUGGGUACAUUUAUUUGAGCCUCUAGUCCCAUAUCUUCAUGAACCAGAAGUGCACGAGUUUUAUUACAACAUGGACUUUCUUGAUGAUGGGAGUAUUUUUACCUCCGCUAAAGGGGUAGAGAUAAGUCUUAGUGAGGAAACAUUGGGGAUCAUUCUGAGUGUGCCUACUGCUGAAAUUUGCUCAAUUGAAAGAUGUAGGCCCUUUACAGCAUUAACUGAACUAGCCUCAAAGAAGGGUGAACCUAAGCAGGCAGGGGUACAAAAAAAUAUCUCAAGGGAGAAUUGCAGUUGACCUUCGAGUUUGUUAACAAGGUCAUGGUUCCUAGGUCAGAGAAACGUACAGUUGUAUCUGCUGCUGAUCUUUUUCUGAUGGAAAAAUUGAGCGACCCUGAAGAGAUCAAUCUUCCAACAAUCAUGCUUGAGAACAUCCACCGUGUUAUGACUUGGAAAAUAUGGAAUCAUGGAAUUCCAUACGUCUAUCUUCUCAACUGGGUGUUCCAUCACUUUGAGGUGCCCUUAGGGAUGGGCGUACUAGAUACUUUCAAACAGAUGUUCUCAAAAACUACUCUCCAGGAUUGCGAGUGUAUUGAAGGGGAUGCACCAGGGUGCUCACAGGUUGCACAAUAUUGGAGAAACAGUCCGUUCUUAAGGGAAAAGUGGAUGAUCUAACUGUCUCUUGGCAGCUAAGAAAGUUGAGGUGGUCACUCUUAAGUCUGAACUUCAGAAAGUGAUCUCAAGAGGAACUGGUCCUAGUCAGGUUUAUGGCUCAGAGUUAAGAAAAUUGAGGACAAAAAAUGAUCACCUAAAAGCUACGAAUGCCUUACUAAGUGAGGAAGUUCAAGUUCUCAACAAGCAACUCAUUAAGGCUCAUGAAGAUGCAAAUGAGUGAGUGUUUCUGCUUUUGCGAACUCUUCAACCCUCCCCCCCCCAUCCUAAAUGUGUCCUAUUAUGUAUGUCCUUCUCAUUGUACUCUUUUCUUUUCAGUGGUGCGAUGCAGUUUUAAUGUUCAAUGGCCUGUAUUUAUUUGAUCGCAUCUUGAUGUUGUUUUAUGCAUAGUUUUUAUGUAUUUCUAUCAUCUCUUUUUGCUGACAUUCACAUGUUCUGUAUGUAUAGACCUACAUUCUCUUGUUCUUAUUUGUUUAUUUUUUCAAUUGUUUAUUGUCCCUCCUUCUUGAUGAUGUCAAAAGGGGGGAAAAUUGUAGUAGCCGUUCAGUUAAAGAUGCAUGGGAAUUAUGCCAUAGUUUAAGGGGGAAUUAUGGCAUGGUUUAAGGAGGAAUGAUGUCUGAUUGGAGAUGCAUGGGAAAGCAUGUUUUAAGGCGGAAUUAUGACGUGGUUUAAGGGGGAAUUAUGUCUGAUAUAAUGCUCUAUGUAUUUAUGAAUUAAUGUGUGUGAGGAACAAAUGCAGGUUGUUUUGUCAUCAUCAAAAGGGGGGAAAUUGACAGGAGGCUCUCCUCAAGAUGUUUUGAUGAUUCCUCACCAGUGCAGGGACCUGGUCCUUUGCAGAGUAUGAAACUAAUCCCAACUGUGAAAAGUACAAGACAACUAUAAAAGUUGUCUGCGUCAGAGAGGUCUGUGAGGAGCAGUGUACUUCGUCAAUCAGAAGUGACUAGGUCUUUUUGUUUGAUAGACAACAAAUCUUGAUGAUGUAUAUAAAACAAAACACAACACAUUAUUCAUUCAUUCAAAAAGAAAACCAUACCAGCAAACAUAAAAAAAGCAAGAUAUUGAUCAAAGGGCUUUCAGUUCUUCUUGUUAUUUGUUGGUCUCAUAUUUGCUUGUAAUUGUUCUAAAAUUGUAGGACUCGUUUCGAACUCGACAGAAACGUUUCAAAUCUUGGGUGUUUCAUUUUAAGGGAUUUAGUUACGGGUAACUAGGUUCUUAUUGAGUAUUGUUGUAUCUGCUCGUGCUUAGCUAAGUAAUAGGGUCUAUUGCUUAGUGAAGAGGCUAGAAGGUUAGUCUCUUAUUUUUUAACCGACUUUUACUUUUGCUUGUUGAAAUUAGUGAAACUUGGUUGUUGAAAAGUUCAGUCAAGAAUAGGUCGUGGUUUUACUCCCUUGAUCAAGGAGGUUUCCAUGUAAAAGUGAUUGUCUCGUUUACUUUCAGUCUUUGUGCUUUAUUUAUUGUAAAAUAUUGUUAAGGGGACCAGGUCCUAUCUAAUAUAAGUGAACGCAUACAUUCCAACAGUAAACUUAAAUUUCAAACGACAAGGGGGAAAAUCAAGGCAGUAACCUGUCAUUGACUAAGAAUAGAGUUUGAGAAGUAGCUAGUGACAAAUAAAUGCUAGUCAAGAUUAAAUGGGGCCACAACUACAACAAGCUUUCUAUCUAAUACAACAAUAGACUACAAAUGGGACAAUCAUGGGAUAUAAAAAGUUUCCCGACUUCGAACAAAGGAAAAAGGGGGGAGGAGUACAUGUCUUAGAAAUCUCCAAUGAAUUAACUCAAUACAGGAAUCAUAAUAUCAUUUAAAAGACAGAAAAGAAAUCUUUCGAGCUAGGCUAAGUACCAACUCGAUGAGACAAACAUUUAAGGGAUAAACUCAUAACAAUACCCACAAUAUAUAUUAAAGCUACAGAGUCAACGAUAUCAAAUUAGACGAAUUAAGAUUAACGAUUAGGCAAAGCUUGCAUCCGCCGGGCAGAUCCAAAGCUAAGACAACAACACAUUCCAAGGCUGUUAAAAUGCAUAAGACAUACAAGUAAGAAACGGUGAAGUACUCGAACACACCACGAUAUGCUACAUUGAAACAAAAUACAAGAGGAGCCGAGGUUACCUCUCUUGGAGCAUCGAGCUGGGACGUCAAGCUUGAGAAGGGCAACAAUUCUUCCAGCACGAAAUUCGAAUACGAACAACAAACCAAGAAAAUCUAAGAGGCGAUCUUUUCAGUAUUCAUACUCAGAAAACUAGUUAUAAAAUUUUAAAAGCGUAGAAGUGGAUAUUUCUCUUAGGAACUCAAACUCCAAAACCUCUAAGAUCCUCCCUUGGUUGAUGGUUAAGGGUAGUUUAUAUGGAGGAAAAGUUGAGGUCAAUUUAGGGGGGAAACCGUUGAGCAAAAAUUUAAAAUCUCUCUUUUUUCAAAGGCAAAUAGAGAAAGAUGUUGUGCAGCCUGUGGCUGCGCGAAAUAGGGAAAAAAAGAGACGAUUAGACACGAGGAUGACAGGCGUAUGGGCAUAUACUGAUGCGCCAAGUUUUGCUGGUGGAUUUUUGGAUUUGACAAGAUUUUUGGGUGAAGAAGACGAUAUCACUUUUGUUGUGCGCUGUAUUGUUGAUGGGUUUCUUUCGUGAAGAGCAAAUGGGUUGGGCCAGGUUAUAUGCAUUGGUGUUGAAUCAUUUUGUUUAGAAAUUAAAAUAACACCCAUACAUAUUUAAGACGAUAUAUAUCGAGUUAUAAAUACUCUUUAAAAAUAAAUUACUUAUAGCAGAUUAUUAUCGAGUUAUAUCAUAUCAAAUAAAAAUAUAUUUAAUUAAAAAUAAAAUAUAGGUAAUUAUUUCAAUACUAAUUAAUAUGUCUACAUAUUUAUUUUUAUUUUUUCAGUUACCUUUCUUAAAAUAAAACUCUUUAAAUUUUUACAAAUUAAUAGUACAGUUACCUUUUACAAUUUUCAAAAUAAAUAAUAAAUUAUUAUUAAUCAAAUUUUACAUUAUAGAGUUACCUUUUCAAAACAAAAACUAAAUAUUAGGGAUAUGAUUUUAAUUAAAUCUCUACUUUACCAUCGCCCAAUAACUACUCACCUCCAUCACACCCAACACAAACAGCAUUCAACUUCCCCAACACGCCUCAAUCAUUAUCAUCCCGAAUGGUCUGAUUGAUCACUGUACCUAUUACGCCUCACACAUCAAUCCCUAAACGCGCCUCACUCAUCACCUUCCCAUCAUGCCUGAUUCAUCCCCAUCCCCAUCACGCCUCAUAGAUCAAUUUCAUCUCCAAAUUCAUAACUCAAACAUCCACAUUUUCUAUUACACAACACGAUUCAACAAUUUUUUAAAAUCUUGAUAAAUGAUUUUUUGUUAAGUUCGUAUAGAAUGUCGAGCAAAGUUAGUGGAACACCCAGUAAAAGUAGAAUAUUGGUUGAGGAGUCAUCAUCUGAUGACUUUCAUGUUCCUUCAUUCAAUAUUUUGACUCAAAUUCAACCGCAAAAAUCAUAUGGAAAAAGAGACGGCUAGUUCUGUUAAAUCAAAGAUUAAAAAAAACAAAAAAGAGGCAAAGGAAAAAGGGAAGAAGAGGAAGGAAAAAGAAAUUUGAACAUCGUCAGAAUCUGAUUUUGUGGACGAAUUAAAAAAUAAAAGAUCAAAAAAAUGAAAAAGUAUUGAAAUUGGUUGCGAACACUUCGAAUUUAUAGGCAUAUCGUAGAAUUUUGACAAUUAUAAUAUGCAUUACCACUGUAUAAUUUGUGUUUGACUUUGAUGUACGAAUUGAUUUAUUGAUCCCGUAUGACUUUUAUUUUGUAGUUUGAAAUUCACAUAUUAGUUUUUUAAAAAAUUCUAAUAUGAAUAAAUAUUGUAUGAAUUAUCUAUGGACUGAUGUAUUAGUUGUAUGAUUUGUGUAUGAAUUGAGUUGGUUGUCCAUUAAUAUGGCAUCGUAUUAAUGAUUUUUCUAUGAAAUUACAUAUUAUGUUAAAGGUUUUAAUUUAGUUUUACCAAUUUUAUAGGAGAAGAAGGUACAAACAUAUUUGUCUUCAUGUACAAACAUGAAUGUGUUCGCUGAUCUGUUGACCUUCCUCGUUCAAGAUAGGUCCCAACAAUUUCUACAAGAAAUACCAUUUGUUUUUUUAUGAUUUACAUAACAUAAAAAUUCAAUGUCAAUUGUUGCGUCAUAUUUUUUCUUCUUGAAACUGAAAAUAUCAGAGAUGAUAUGUUCAUCAUAAACAUAAAUGGUACAGAGUUACACUUUGGAUUAAAAGAAUUUGUCGCUAUAACCGGUCUAAAAUCUGGACUAAUUUUUAAUUUUGUUUCUGAUCAGUCUAUUCCAAAUAUACUUAUCCAAGAAAAUUUUGGGAAUAUGAACAAAGUACCCAAGUCAGAUUUCUACCAUAAGUUUAAACUGAAAAAACUAUUGGGAAAAGGAUGACUCUUUAAAAAUUGGAAUUUUGUACUUCAUUUUUUCAUUUCUGACUGCUUCAAACCCAUAAAAAAUAACCAUUUCUAAAUUAUAUUUUUAUUUAGUAGAGUCUGGAUAGUAUGACAUAUUUUCAUGGGGAAGUGAGUGUUUUAAAUUAACACUUAAAGUGUGCUUUCAUAAAUUGGAAAAAAAAUCCUUCGUUAUUCAAGUUCAGUCAGUUCCAUAUAGCCUUGCAGGUAUGGUUUCAUGAGUGUUGUCAUCCAUUUGACAACACAAUUGCUAUCCAUGCUUCAGAUCACACACUGCGUAUCCUGAAGUGGAAGACAAAAAUGACAUAUUUUUUUUAUGAUUUGAAGAAAACAAUAUUCAGAACACAUUAUAACCAGGUAAUUUUUAUUAAAAAUUAUUAAAGUAAUUAUAAAUUAUUACAUUCUCAUAUAUUUUUUUUCUGUAGCAUAAACUCAGAAAUAUGAUUUUUACUCAAGAAGAGCUCAAUGUCAUGGAUGAAACCAUUUUAAAUCAAUCUCCCCGUCACCAUGAUUCUGAAGAGAAAUGAACCUCGGAAAACCAUGACAUUGAUUUUGAACAAAAAUAUGUAGAGUUGAAAGCAGAAAUUGCAGAGGUAAAUAAAAAUUUACGAUUAAAAUAGUUUUUAGAUAUUACAUUAUAAAUAUCAAAACUUAUUACUGUUUAAUGAACAAGUUAAGGCGGAGUUAAAAGAGCUCAAAGUUAAAUGUUAGUUCCAAUCACAUUUAAAUUAACUAAUAUUAUUAUUGUAGGUUUUAUGUUAUUAUAUUAAUAUAUUUUUUUAUAUUCAUAAGGUUGACAAGCACAUGGUUGAAAUCAAGACUUACGUCAAUAACUCGACUAAGCUGAUAUUUGAAGAGAUUAUAUUGUCAAGAGGUCAACCAACAACAGAUGCACAACAUGUAUGGAUCAAUGUAUGUUCUUUGUAUGAAUGUUGUUUGAUCAUAGUAUGUAGUAGUAUUUGUGUUAUUUGUCUAUGUUUAUGAUCAGUGUAUGACUUUUAAAUGACUAAUAGAAAAUAUUUCAUAUCUAUGUGAAUAAUGUAAAAUUUUGUAUUAAUUAUGUACGAAAGUGUUUUUUCAUACAUAUAGGAAUAAUGUAUAAAUGUUGUAUAAAAAUGUAUGAAAUUUUGUUUUUCAUAUAUGUAUGAAUUCAGUUAAUUUAAUUCAUAUAAAAAAUUAGAAUAUAUUGACGUUGUCUGAAAACUAAUUGUUGUGAUCCUUUAAAUUAGAAGCAACAUCCUGGUGACUCAAUUAAAAAGAACUAGUUAAAAGAAUUUUAAUACGGGUGAAAGGGAAAAGGGGGGUGGGGGUAAAAUGAGUUUAAGGGGAUUAAAGGGAGUCGCCACCUAAUUUUUUUAGGAAAACUAGAAAAUCGAUUAAUUAAUUAACUUAAAAGAGAGUCUAUGAAACCAAUUUGAUUCUAGGUAAGGGGUUCAAGUUAUUUCGAAGGAAAGGGGUUAGGCAUCCUUCGAAAUCCACACCUAUGCUUCCCAACUGAAUUCAUCUUUUACAAAUUGAGCAGGAGAAUAAAAUAAUGUACACAUAUAAUAAACAUGCAAUAUACACAAUAAAACAAAAUAACAAUAUCGGUCUGAGGUUUGCCUAACAUCGAUAUAUACAAAAUAAUGAAUUCAAAAAUAUAAAUUCGAAGUCCUUUUUGAAUAGAUUCAAAGAAGCAUGCAUUGGGUACGUGUAAACACACUUAGUACAAGUAUUUUUAUUAAAUAAAUAUGAAUAAAAUUGAAUAGAUGAAAUAAUAACUUAAAAAUAAAAACCCUUCUUAUUAACAUGGAAGGCCUUGAAAAUCGACGGUAAUUUUUUCAUCUGUCUAUUUUAACAAGCAAAACAUAAACAUAAACAUAAAUAUAAGUUCCAUUUUUUUAACAUUGGGGAUGCCUCCGAAAUCGACGAAGAAAUUCUUUCAUUGAUAAUUUUAACAAUUUAAUAAACAAGUUUUAUGAAUUUAAAUAAAAAUUUUGGUCUUUUAUCAUUGGGGAGGCAUCCAAAAUCGACGGAGAGAUUUUGUCAUUGGUCAUUUUACUUGUAAUUUAAAUAGACCCAAAAAAAAUAUAAUGUGAAAUUUAAAAUAUCUUAAUCAAUAAUAAAGUAACAACAACCGGGAUAAAUAUAUUAGGAAAUACCUAAUGUUAACAUAGAAGUAACAAUUUAAUGAAAAUAUUAACACUACCCAUUAAUAAAUUAGAAAUUAGCCAAACCAAGUACUUAACAAAAACGAAAGAAACAUAAAUGGGCAUAGAAAUUAAUAGAUAAAAAUAACUACAAUUACAAAGAAAUAAUUAACAAUUAACAAAAAAGUCUAAUAAUCUCAAAAAUCACCAAAAUCUUAAACAUAUUAAUAAAGCUACCAAACAGUGAAAAAUUAAAAAAAAUAAAAAUUAAUCUUAAUAAAUGGAUAUGAAAAACUUCAUAGAAUAAAAAUAAUAAAAUAUAACCUACCUAUAUAUAAUAACCACAACCCAACAACUUUAAACAGUCAAAUGAGUAAGAAUAAAAUUAAAAAAAAUAAUAAAGGGAAAUAAAAUAGUAAGUUCAUCUCACUAAUAAAUGCACAAAGCAAAAGUACAAAUAGUAAUAAUCAAUAAUAAUAUCACCAAAAACCACUAUAACAAUAAAAUUCAAACUAAAAGAGGACCUGACCGUCAGAGAUUUGUUGUUGUUGUCACUCUUCCUCGUGACUGGUUUUGUUGCUCCUUAGAAAUUUUGGUUACUGCUGUUGUUUGCUCACAAAUUUGUUGAUAUAGUUCACCUGCAAAAAAUAUAGAAUCGUUAAGGGGAAAAGUGAAAGGACAGGCGGUGGUCUGAUUGUUGGAUCGUUUUCGACGACUUUUCACUGGAAAAAGAGAAAACGAUAAGAUUUUUGUGGUGAAAUGGAUUUGUUUUCUUUUUUUUUUUGUUCUAAGAUGAUGGUUAAAUUUUUUUCUGUUGAUGUUGGAGAAGAAAGGGGAGGAUGGAGGUGGGUCUGGUGGUUAUUGGUUAAGAUUUGCGGCUAUUCGUCGCCGAAAAAAGGAGGAAACGAAGGAGGGACUUUUGUGGUUGUUGAGUUGGGGAAGAAGAUGGCAGGACCAAUGGUGAUUUCAGGCGAGUUGGGGUUAGGUAGUUGCCUAUUUGAGUGGCUGUUCCAGCUGCAUUUUGAAGGUCGUUUUUGGAUCUAUUUUGUUGCUGGUCGUUUGGUCGGCUAGCUGUUUCAGUGAAGAAGAGGCCAUAGAUUCCCGAUGGUUUUUUGGAUAUGGAGGAGAAAGAAAAAUGGAAGGUUGGAUGGUUGCCGACUCCUAGCCAAAAAUAUGAGGAGAAACUUUUAGGGUUUUUUUAUUUUGGAAAGUUUUCAUCCCUAGUCUCAAAAUAUUAUCCACCCC